RNAcentral lists this small RNA (1696 nucleotides) under Pongo abelii (Sumatran orangutan). Its description in RNAcentral is "processed transcript". The record is from RNAcentral. Lineage: Eukaryota; Metazoa; Chordata; Mammalia; Primates; Hominidae.
AAAAAGCCCAGGCGCUUACUCGAGGGUUAGCUGAGUGAAUGAGCCGGCGACUGUGGAGUUAGCGUCCUGAAUGUGAACGCCCUGAUCUCCCAUUAGGAGCCGCUGGCUGCGGCAGCAGGGGACCAGCGUGAGAGUUGGCUAAAAAAAAGAAAAGAACAUGGAGGCAGAUAUAAUCACAAAUCUUCGAUGCAGGCUCAAAGAGGCUGAAGAAGAGCGACUAAAAGCUGCACAGUAUGGUUUACAACUAGUAGAGAGUCAAAAUGAAUUACAGAAUCAACUGGAUAAAUGUCGUAAUGAAAUGAUGACCAUGACUGAGAGUUAUGAACAAGAAAAAUAUACCCUUCAAAGAGAAGUUGAACUCAAGAGUCGAAUGUUAGAAAGUUUGAGCUGCGAAUGUGAAGCUAUUAAACAACAACAAAAAAUGCACCUGGAGAAAUUGGAAGAACAACUAAGCAGAAGCCAUGGACAGGAAGUGAAUGAACUAAGAGCUAAGAUAGAAAAACUGAAAGUGGAAUUAGAUGAAGCCAGGCUUAGUGAAAAGCAGCUGAAGCACCAGGUAGAUCAUCAGAAGGAACUCCUCUCUUGUAAGUCAGAGGAACUGCGCGUAAUGUCUGAACGUGUGCAGGAAAGCAUGUCUUCAGAGAUGCUGGCUCUUCAAAUUGAGCUGACAGAAAUGGAGAGUAUGAAGACCACCCUCAAAGAAGAAGUGAAUGAACUACAAUACAGACAAGAACAGCUGGAACUUCUUAUUGCUAACCUAAUGCGCCAGGUAGACCGGCUUAAAGAGGAAAAAGAGGAGCGAGAGAAAGAAGCAGUUUCUUACUAUAAUGCCCUGGAGAAAGCUCGUGUAGCAAAUCAGGAUCUUCAGGUACAGUUGGACCAGGCACUCCAGCAAGCCUUGGAUCCCAAUAGUAAAGGCAACUCUUUGUUUGCAGAGGUACUUAUAAGUAUCCUAACUACUAAAUUGGUAUUUUCAUUUACUACCAGAACAAUUAAGCAUGUUAAUAUUUUGUAGGUGGAAGAUCGAAGGGCAGCAAUGGAACGUCAGCUUAUCAGUAUGAAAGUCAAGUAUCAGUCACUAAAGAAGCAAAAUGUAUUUAACAGAGAACAGAUGCAGAGAAUGAAGGAUUUCCAGACUGUGCUGCCUCAUUUCCUGAGACUCUCCCCUGUCUGGGAAGUAUUUCUUUAUAAAUUUUCUCACGUUUACUUUAGUUUUCUUACAGAAUUUGUUGGGGUUACUUUUAAUCUACCAAUGUGGCAUGAUAUUCCAAACUAUCUUUAGAGACUAGAAGCAUUGUGAAUCUUAGGCUAAGUGGGCCUAGCCUCCAAUUUGAAACAGGAACAAAAAGGAUAUCCUUUAAAAUGUUAAAAGUCAUCUGCAACCUCAUAUCAUUGCUUGCUUUACUCAAAACUAUAUUUAAACUAAUAGGCACUCUUUUCAACUCCAGAAAUUUCCAAAGGCAGAAAGAAAUGCUAGAUUUAGAGUCUACUUAAUUUCCCUCUGGUAGCUUUGUAACUCCAGAUUUGGGGUGGGGGAGGUAUAAUUAGGUAAGUUGAGUGCUGCUCUAAAAAAAUUAAAACAUGGUAUAUUGAAGAUUACCCCAGUAUACCAAGAUAGCCUUUUAUCUUUGCUUUUCAUGUCAUUUGUGAAUCUAACAUUUGUGGCUGUCAGUAGCUUGGUUUUCCUCACUUAAUU